Mus musculus (house mouse) is the source of this 23307-nucleotide long non-coding RNA. RefSeq annotates it as predicted gene, 52669. The transcript is spliced from 2 exons. The record is from RefSeq and is a predicted model, not a curated record. NCBI's taxonomy places the organism in Eukaryota, Metazoa, Chordata, Mammalia, Rodentia, Muridae.
ACUUAAUUUUUACAAGUCUAUCUUUUCCACCAGCCAACAUGCUGGGGUAGAAUUAACUGCCCUAAAGCUCAACAUAAGUCUCAAAGUUUGGGGAGAAUUAGGAUGGAGAUGAGCUGGAGUCUAAGAUGCUAAUGAGAUGGAACUGAUGGCAGAGUUCACCAGAAACAAAAGUAGGUUAAAGUUUUCAGAGAAUAGAAUCAAUGUGAGAGCACUACAAGCAACUAGUUAAUUUAUUUAAAAAAAAAAAAGCAGAGAGAUUAUUAACAGGAAAGAGACUGCUUACCCUUUCACAGUAGACACACUAAUUGGAAUUCUCUAUGGCCUAAAGGCACAAGAAAAUACUGAAAGUGUGAAAUAGCAGGAAGGUAAAGGGGGGGGGGCAGGAUUAGAAAGAAACCAGAACAAACUCCCACACUUAGGCUGACAGCCCCUCCCUGAACCACAGUUCUGUUAGAUCCUUUACUGCACCAACCAGCCAACCAGCGCCUGCCUCAAAUGCUCACGUAGCAAAGAUGCAAAAUAUUAACAUCACACCUGACUGCGUGCUGUUUGAGGAAUUUUAAAUUAGCACACAAGAAAAUGUUUCCCUUGAGAGCUAUUCUGGCAUUUUAUAUUCACACACUGCAACUGGUAUAGAAGACCAAAGCAACAUGCUUUUAAUAAAAUACCACACAAUGCAUGGGAGGGGUGGUGUUCAUUACCUUGGCGAUAAUUCCACUUUUUACCCUUCAGAGUAGAGAGGCAUUAAACCCCACUGAGCUGAUAAAAUAGGCUGGAUGAAUCCCUAUAGCUAGAAGAGCAUUAGCAGCAGGAUUGCAUAGAUUUCCUAAUGCAAAAGCCUGGGUAGCAUUUCAUUAUUGAGGUUGCCUGAUUGCUUUGGUUCAAGCCUUAUCUUCAAUUCUUUCCUCCAUCUAUUUAAAAUCACAAUAAACAAAUGAAGCAAUCACACAACAAACAGCACCAUGGGCUGAACUCCUCCCCGUUACAGAGGCGGCUGCACAAAGUUGCAGCCAAAAUACCUGUUUUGCACUCUAAGCAAACAAAGUUUGCCUUGGUACCAUCGUGCCCAAGGAAAAUGUGCACUGCCUAUCUACGCUGAUGCUGGUAAAUUGUGUCCGGAAUCAGCAGAACAUUCUAGAGUCUAAGUAUCCAGCCACUUUUCUUAUUAUGGCAACCUAAUCCGUCUGUCUUCCUCCCCUGCCAAGGUAUUAUUUCCCUAGCCACAUGCGGCGACAUUAGAUUUCCAUUCUCCUAAAAUAAAACUUCCCAGACGCCCUCCACAGGAGUGUAAAAGGCAGGAUGUGCAGCUCACUCAGAUUAAAAUUCACCCCCUUCAUUAAAUUUGUACCUGCUUCCAUUAUUAAGAGGACUUCUAAAUUUCCCUGUCUGUGUUCUCUCAUAAAAAUCCUGUUUUAAAAUUCAAUGACUUGUUCCAAGACACUUCAUCAUCCCAUUUCAUAAAAAAUUUAAUGGUGUCUAAUCCUCUAAGACUCACUAAAGUUGCUCUGGGUGUAAUGCCAGCUCCAGGUCAAUCUAAGAGUAGAUACUUCAAUCUGAAAUGUAUAGUUGGACCCACUUAGCCAUGAUUCUGAUGUUUAUAAAUUUUAGUCUACAGAAAAAAAUGACCCUUGGAAUUUAUUAAGCAUGCGCCUGCCCAGGAUCCCUUAGAGCAGGUACCUGUUCAGUAAGUUGUGGAAUAGACUAGAACUAUACACUUAACAGGUACUCUCAGGAGACUGUUGCACAUACAGAGGACAAUUGCUAUGCUGGUGAGAAUAAAGCUCAAUGCAAAUAUAUUCCCAUCCUCUCCCCACUCACCCUGAGAUUAGGUGUAUUCCAGGACACUUCUAACUCCACCAAGGUGGUCCACAUCUGCACUACCCUCCUCUAACCUUAUGCAAAUGGCCUCCUCAUUGCUUCUGUUUCAUGACUAGUCCUGUUCCCAGCCAAAACAGAAACUGGGCAUACGAUUCCAGCUGGAUUCCCUGGAACCUUCUCUAGCUCCUAUCACAAAAACAAAAACAAAAACAAAAACAAAAAAAAUAAAAAACAACAACAACAACAACAACAACAACAAAAACAUUUUCAUUGUAGCCUAGACAUACUACAAACUUCUAAAUUCCAGACUGUUGAAUAGAAUAGACUACCACAUACCUAAAAAAAAAGACUAUAAAACUUUUAAGACCUCCCACUUCUGGCCCCCUGGCUUUAGGGUAGCUCCACACUUCAGCAUCUGUUCCAAGAUCCUGCAUGAGUGAUUCGGAACAGAACCUUUUCUAAGUGCUAGUCCCCCAACCCUUCGACUAAGUUUCCUAGGGUCAAAUUCAUCAUGCUGGCCCUGCUCCCCACGUGAAGAAUUGCUCUUUCUGGAUUUUACUUUGUUGCAAUGAUGUCACUGGCUAGACUGCACAUCAUUUUAGGGAGGAUCCUUCCGAAACUCUUCAAAGUAACCUCUGUAAUGACACUGAUAAAUAUAGUGCUCACUCUUUUAGCUGAUGUCCCCUUAAUGAGAAUCUACCAAAGUUUCUGUCUGGACUUAAGACUAAAAUUUAAUUUACUGUUCAUGAGCAAUUGAUUCUUUUUCUCUUUAAUCUCACACACUAAAUUUUAUGACAAAAGGCUUCCAUUUCUACCUCUAUUCGGAAACAAAGCUUACCCAGGAUUACACUAUGGCUCGUAUGUCACAUUCCAGGAAACUAUAUGCCCACUAUUAUUUUCCUUCCUUCACGACUAUAUAUAUUGCCUUAUUCCUAAAUCUCUUGUAAGCAAUUAUCUUGUAGUUAAGGCUUCUUGACUCCUUCCUGGAUAUGUUCAUCAAUAACUCAAAUGCUAAGGAUGGCAAUUUAUCCUAUCAACAAGUAUUGACUACAGGAUCACCUAGUGCUCAGUAAAUGAUGAAAUUCAUCUGAGGAAAUAUGAAGUAAUAUUAUGAGGGACCUAGGAAGUGACUGCGAAAAGACUGGCAUGCACAGCAUGUAAUUCAAAUGUGAGGGUAGUAUUGGUGACUGACAAGUCAGCUCAAAGGUAAAGGAAAUCAGCAAAGACAGAAGUGCUAGUUCCACAAGGUAGGACUUGAAGAUUGGGAUUGUGGGGAGAGUCAAAAUGCCAACUUGGAUAGACUGAGGAAGACACUGGAGAUCAAAUGACUCCACAGCUAGCACAGGCUGAAAGCUCGUCGAAAAGGAACUGGAAGUAGAGUUUAGAUGUAUGAGUCUGUAACCAGUCACAAUCUCCCUUCUCAUUUGUAAAUGGGGAUAUUUCUAAGAAGAGCCUUGACCUAAUCAAGAUUAGUUAUACGAAAUAUUAGUGUGAUGCCUCGCUCUUUCUUACACACUCAGCUGCUGGAAUUGCAGAAGGCUCCGGAAGCUGGGGACAAAUGGUGGGUAGUCUUGUAAGUUAGCAGAUGACUUUGGACUUGACAGAGGAGGAUUGCAGGAGCUAUUUAGAGUUCCUGAACAGGGCAGUGACAAGAUGAAAGCAGUGUUUAAAGAAGAUUAAUGUGGCCGUGCAGGAAGAGAGCAAAGGAGAAAAUACCACAGGCACGGACUAGAAAGCUGUGUGUUUCGUAGGUACAAAGUGACUAAAGCCGGAUGAAGGAUGUGGCAGAAGAUUUGCCAUGCAGAGACCCUGAAAUACUUUAAAGGUAGUCACGGUGUUCUUAGGGAGGAACUUGUGACUGCUGUACAUGGGGACAAAUGAGUCAAAAGUCAAAUGUAAUCAUAGUAACUAAUCAAUAACAGCCCUUUCUUUAUCACUUAAUAGAUUCUGAGCUGCAUAGAGAGACAGUGAGUCUCUUAUUCACCAGUGUCUAGCAUAGUAUUUCAAGUAAUUUUGUUCAUAGAAAAAAAACAUUGAAAGGAUACAAAAUAUCUUUUCAAUAUAAUAUUGAGUGUUAAAAAUAACAGUCCUGUUGAUUGAAGAUGGUUAAGGCACUGCUCAUGAAUUAUUUACUCCAACCCUAACUUUGUGCAAUAGAUCAUCUUUCACGUUAAUCUCAUAAAACAGGUAUAGCAAGUUUCCUGUAGUCCUUCAAAGGUCAAUUCACCAGAAAAUGACAAAUGCAGAAUUCAGAACUACAUUCUGAAUAUAGGGCUGGUGUGGGCAGGUGCUUCAUUGGUAUGAGUCCUAUCAAACAAAAGAAAGAGUGGAAACCACUUAAUUUACACCCACAUUGCACCCCACAAACAUUAAACCACCAUGUGAGUUGCGCAGGUAGGCACUGACUUGGGUAUUAAACUCAUCCUUCUGUCAGGCUUACAAUAGUUGAGUAGAGGAAAGGAUAUGUAAAAUAAAGAGCAUAAAGCCAUCUCUCCAGCCCACAGUUCUCAUUCUUAUAUAGAAACCUACAGUAUGCUUUGGGUUGAGUUUUGUAUACAGUGCAAGAUGAAGGCCUUACUCCACUCAUCCACUUGUGGCCUUCCAGUUUUCUAGGCAAUACUACAAAACCAGAUUAUACUGUCCUUAUCAUGUGUGUGUUCUUAGCACACUUGCCAGGAAAUACCAGCUGGCUGUAAAUAGGUGGGUUUAUUUCUGGGUUCUAUACCUUUGCACUGGCCGCAUAUAUUUUGUUAUAAAGGAGCAUGGUGCCUUCUGAUCCAUUCUUUUGCUCGUGGCUCUUUCAUUGAUUCAAGAUCGCUUGUGUUUCUGCAUGACACUAAAGACUUCUUCAUUUCUGUGAGAACGUGGCAUUAGCAUGUUGAUACACACUGUACUAACUUUGUAGCUCCCCUGGUGCUGUGGCACGGACAUUUUAACAUUUAUUCUUCUCAAUCACUGACCAUGAGCCCAAUUCCCUUUGUUCAGAUUUUCUUUCACACGUGUCUAGUUUUCAGUAUAUAGGUAAUUUACUUGAGUAUUGCUGUGGCUUUUUAAAACAGGAAUGCUUUGGAGAGGGGGGGUGUGUUUAUGAAUGUUAAUGGAGUAUCCUGAAGCUUACUGGAUUUAUUGGUUUUACAAGAUCUUGGUGGCACCUUAGAGUUAACUGUGUGUAAACAAUCAUGUCACCUACAAAUACAGACAGUUGAACUAUUUUUGUUGGCUGCCUUCUGAUUUUCUCUCUUGCCUUCUCGGGCUUGCACUUCCAGGGCUGUGCUGAAAGGAAACGAGGAGCAUGGGCAUCUUCGUCUUAUCUUUAAUCAUAGAAAAAGAUAUCAGAUUUUGCCUCAGAUGUCACCUAGGCAGUUGUCAUGAGAACACUUCUUUGUAUUGAAGUAAAUCCUGCUGCACUUAGUCUGUGCAGGACUUGAUCCUGAAACAAAGGUCGUAUUCUGACAAAUGUUUGUUUAUGCAUCUACUGACGUGGGAACAUGACUUCCUUAAUCUCUAGCUUUUUUUUUUAAAGAAAAAGUAUUUUAAUAUACAAAUGAUACAUUUAAAUAUAAACCUGCAGUAAUAUUUUAAAGAUAUAUCCAUGUAUUGUUUGUAUCUCACCUAUUUGUGAUUUAUCUACUAUCAAUUUAAGGAACAGCCAGUGUCUCUAAUAAUGUUAAAAAUUUCAGAGCAACCAUGCUGACAUGUCAAAUUUUUUCAUUCAUAAAAUGUUUUCUACAUUUUAAAGACUAUAUCUGGUACUACAUAUGUAAAUAUAUACAAAUAGGAUUUCACUAACAAUAUUGGAGAACUGUCACCUAUAUUCCCAUCUGUCACUUGGCUAACCUUCUUUUUUUUUUAAUAUUUUUUAUUAUGUAUUUUCCUCAAUUACAUUUCCAAUGCUAUCCCAAAAGUCCCCCAUACCCUCCCCCCCACUUCCCUACCCACCCUUUCCCAUUUUUUUGGCUCUGGCGUCCCCCUGUACUGGGGCAUAUACAGUUUGAGUGUCUAAUGGGUCUCUCUUUCCAGUGAUGGCCGACUAGGCCAUCUUUUGAUACAUAUGCAGCUAGAGUCAAGAGUCACAUUUACUGAUUCACAUGUGUUGAGCCAUCUUUACAGCCCUAGAAUAUGUAACUUGACAUGAGGAAUAACUCUUUAAAUGUUUGUGGAUGCAGUCUGCUGGUAUUUUGUUGUAGAUUUUUGAAUCUAUAUUCUUCAAAACAAUUUGUCCAUCUUUUUUUUUCUUAUACUGCUUUUGUGUGUCUUUGUUAUCAGAGUGAUGCUAGCCUCAGAGUCACUGAAUUUAGAAGCGUUCAGAAGAAUUUGCGUAGCUCUUUCCUAAAUACUUAGCCAAGUUCAGCAGUAAAGCUGGGCAGCUCCACGCUUUUCUUAGAGGCAAGGAUUUGUAUUACUGACUUAGUCUCUUUCUUUGUUAUGAAUCCGCUCCGAUUUUACAUUUCCUCAUGAUUUAGUGUUGGCGCCUUGUGUGUUUGAGUUUUUCCAUUUUGUCUGGCUAGCCCGUUUGCUGGUGAGCGAGCGUUCCACAGGAGCCUGUGAAUUGGAGCCGUGUCAGUCAGGAUGCCUUUUCUUCAACUUUCUUGCCUCCUUUAUGUGCAGAGGUGUUUCUCUAUUGUCAUUAAUCAACUUUAUCAUUUAUUAAAAGAGCUUAGUAUUACCGAAUCUUCUGAUUUUGUCACAAUUGUUUCUGCUCCAGUCUUUCUCUGUCUUUUCCUUCUAUUGAUUUUAAACUUGCUUUGUUUUUUCCUAAGUUCUUUGAAGUAUAUUGCUAAUGUUUUAAAUUUUAUAGAAAUCUGCAUUUUUUUAAUUAUAAAUUUUCCUCUUAGGACUGAUUUUACAGUGUGUAUAAAUUCUUGUAUGUUAUGUUUCUAUCUUAUUACAAGAUAUUUUUAUUCCUUAUUUAUUGAUUUUUGAGUGGCAUUUUGUUUAUUCUCACACACCACUACAUGUGUAAGUGUAUCUAUAAGUAUGUAUAGUGGGAGUGGGCAGGGGAGUCUCACUGUGUAGCUUGAUUGGCCUGGAUGUCUAUGUUGGUAUCAGAGUAAUGUUACCACUGCAGGCCAGAGGGAGAGACUGGUCUGCCAUCUCCUUGGACCUGGCUGGGGCCAUGAAGCUUCCUUUCUCCAGACACAUCGAUUGAAUAGACACUCUCCAGACAAGCAGAUGCUGAAAACGGCAGAUAAGAUGGGUCCUUCCAGCAACAGAUGAACUCUCUUGCCAGAGCCCAAUGGCUACUACGCUUGGGGAAACUUACAUAGUAGUAAGGAAAUAUUAUGCCUAUGUAGAUAAAUCAAAAGUUGUUUAAGAAGCCGGGCGUGGUGGUGCAUGCCUUUAAUCCCAGCACUUGGGAGGUAGAGGCAGGCGGAUUUCUGAGUUCGAGGCCAGCCUGGUCUACAAAGUGAGUUCCAGGACAGCCAGGGCUACAGAGAGAAACCCUGCCUUGAAAAACCAAAAAAAGUAGUUUAAGACCAAUGUUAAAACCCUCAGAAAACUCUGUACAAACUCUCAACAUCUAUCUACUGAGUAACUGAGUUAGUUCAAUAAUCCCUUGUCUUCCCCACUCCCACCCCUCACUAUCCCUCUGGCUUAUGUUGUACUUUCUUUUAAUGCUUAUAUCCACCCCACCCACAUUUUUAACUACAAACAAUAUAGGAGACAGUUACUCAAAUAACAUCUCCCCUUUAUAAAAGGAAAAAGGAGUUGUGGGGCAAGUGGAACUGUGUCACUAGACAGAAAACUGCUAAAAUCAAGCAGAUUCAGGAACCCCAGCAAUUCUCAGAAUAGCACGUUUGAAUCUGUUCUCAACCAGAUUCUUGUCCUGGAGCAUGCGACCACACUUCACUAAGAGGACCAUGACAACUGGCCAUGCAGCAUAGAGUCCAGAGUUUCGUCUUCCUUGAGUGACAUGUUGGUGUCACAUGAGCCAGGCAUCCCAACAGGAAGAAUGGAAUGUAGACUAGUGUCCCUGCAUUCACCUCUCUGAGUGGCAUUCUGACACCUUGGUGGCUAGGUAGAAACACAGAACUAUGUGUAUGCAGGUGUACGUGUGUGUGUAUGUUUGUAUGUGUAUGUUUGUUUGUGUAUGUAUAAGUUUGUAUGUGUAUGCCUCCUCUCUUCUCUUCAGACGUGGUCUGAUAAAUUAUUUUAAAUUUCUCCUACUAUUGUCUUCUAAAAAUGUCUACUAUUUUAUGGCAUUGUGUCAAUAUGACUUCGAGCCUCCUAAAUUUUCUAGUAUGUAUUUUUGACCUAACACAGACUCUAUCUUGGAGAAUGUUUCCUGUGCAGUUAAGAAGACUGCCCGUUAGGCUGUUAUUGGUGAACAAUAUGCCUGUUAGACCCAUUUAGUCUAAAGGACAUUUCAAAUUCAAUGUGUUUUUGUUGAUUUUCUGUCUAGAUCAUCUUUCCACUGUUGAACAUGGGCAUUAAGUUAGGUUCCUUUCUAUUAUAGUAUCAUAGUCUGUCUCUCCUUCAAUCAAUGCAUUAGUAAUUGCAUUAUGUAUUUGGGAAUUCUGAUAUUCUGGUGCAUAUGGACUUAUAAUUAUGUUUUCGUGCUAAUUUGUGUAUGUGUACAUAAUGGAAAUAGAGAUAUUUAUGAUGCAAAGGAUCAAAUUGAGAGCUAUACAUAUGUAUAUGAUAGCCAAUGUACCACUGAGAUACGGAUUUUAUUAUUAUAUACUGACUUUCUCUGCAAUCAUUUAUAACUUGUCAGUGAAUGUCUCAUCUUAUUUAAGAACACACAUGCAUCAAACAGCUUCAAACAGUUUCUGUUACUCUCAGAACUGCACCAAUGAAACAUUCUUGCCAUUCUCCAAGAAUAACAAAACACCUAUCGGAAGUAUCACUCACUCCAAUUUUAAGUUGUACUUCAGAGUGAUCGUAAUAAAAACAACAUCGGAAUAUAAAAAGACACAUUGAUCAAAGGAAUCAAAUUCAAGACCCAUGCAUAAGUUCACACACAACUGGACACUUAGUUAUUUACAAAGAAGUUAGAAAUACAUGCUGGGAAAAAAAAUCAGCAUCUUCUUCAAAUGGUGACAGCUAAAUUGGAUGUCUGAAUGGAGACGAGUGCAAAUAGAUCCACACUUGUCACUCUGCACAAACUUCAACUUUAAAUGGAUUAAAGACUUCAACAUAAAACCAGAUGUACUGAAUCUGAUAGAGGAGAGAGUGAAAAAUAGUUGUGGACUUAUUGUCACAGGAAAAGACUUUCUAAAUGGGACACCAACAGCCCAGGCACCAAGAACAACAAUUAAUAAAUGGGACCCCAUGAAACUGAAAAGCUUCUGUAUGACAAAGGACACCAUCAUUCUGAUCAUUCUGAUGAAGAAGCAGGCUACAAAAGGGGAGAAGAUUUUUACCCAUUUUAUUUCCAGUAGAGCGUCAAUACCUACAAUAUUUAAAGAACUGAAAACAAUUAACAUUAAGAAACAAAUAAACCAAUUAAGAAUGGGGAACAGAACUAAGCAGAUUUCUCAAAAGAUAAAGCACAAAUGGAUGAGAGACAAUGAGAGAAAUACUCAGUGCCCUUAGUCAUCAGGGACAUGCAAUCCAAACAACUUUGAUAUAUAUCAUCUAACACCAGUCUGGAUGACCAAAAGAAAUAAAACAAAUGGCAGCUCAGAGCGGUGAGGAUGUUGUGUGGAGAGAAUCAGCAUCCAUUGCUAGUUAGAGUGAAAAUCAUCAGCCACUGUGGAAAUCAGUAUGCCAAUUCCCCAGGAAGCUGAAAAUAGAUCCACCUCAAGAUCAAGCUAUAUCGUUCUUGAGCAUAUACCCAAAGUACUCUACAUCCUACUACAGAGACACUUGCUCAUAUUCAUUGAUAUUCAAUUCAUGAUAACUAGAAAUUGGAAACAGCCUAGAUGUCCAUCAACAGAUGGAUAAUAAAAAUGUGGUGCAUUGACACAAUGAAAUAUUAUUCAGCUAUAAAAAAAAAUAAAUUGUGAGAUUCACGGGUAAAAUUGAUGGAGUUAGAAAAAAAUCUUGAGUGAGGUAACACAGACCCCAGAAGAUAACUAUGCUGUAUAUCUUUUAAGCUUUUAGUAAGCAUGCUACAAUCUUUAUAACAACAGACUUUAGGUAUAGAAUAAGGGACAAGUGAAUAGGGGGGGAUCCCCAAAGGAAGGGGAAAUAGAAUAUAUAGUUAUAGAGAGACAGGGGAAAGAAUGGAAUGAUAGGAUUAAAAGAAUGAAUUGAGGGAAGAGGCAGUAGAGUUGAAAUAUGGUAAGGGACACCUAAUACAAGCCGUGUAUGUGUGUGUGUGUGUGUAGAAUCACCAAAUAACAAGGGAUAUAGUUCCCAAAUAAAACAUCACUUGCCACCAAAUGUAACCUCCAGCUCUAGAAAUUGGUUAUAUCUAAUUGAGUUGUUGGCCAAACGGACCCCAUAGAUUGGUUGCUCUCCACAAACUGAUGGUAAUACCCUAUGGAUGAAGACAAUACUUAAAUACCUCAUUGAAUACAGAAAAAUCUAGCUGGUGCCUAACUAGAGUAUCCACCCCUAUUGGCUAGUGUUCAUGGUACUACCAGUUACUCUGCAUGUUACCAGAGGAGUAAGGUAACCACCAACCAGCUACAUACCCUGUGAUCUACAGCAGUAACUUGCAUGCCUGAAACACUGGAGCAAUAGUGACAUAAAAGUUGUAGGAGUAACCAAAUGCUAUCUGUAUUUAAGGCCCACUGCAUCAGAUGGAACAAAUGCCUGACACUGCUUUGGUGGCCAAGAACCUGAGACUAGAUAGACUGUGGGUCUGGGUAAAACCAAUACAACUGUUCUGCUAAGCAAAUAUAGCAAUAAAAUGACUCCUAACAACUUUGUGCUAUACUCAUAGACCAGUGUUUAACUCAUCCAGCAUCAUAAAUCUUUCUCACUAAUACGGAGACCCACACAUGACGAUGGAAGGGGAGUGAGAGACUUUGGAACACUCAGUUCUAAGUGGGAUGUCUUUAUCAAACUCCAUCCUUCAGGACUCAAAGAAAUAUGCAGACGAGGACUUAGAAAGAUUGUUAGAGCCACAGGGAAUGGACAACACCAAGGAAACGGUGUCUUCCCCACAGCAGGACUGAUGCACAUAUGAAGUCACAGAUAUUAUAGCAGCAUGAAUAGGGACUAUACAGGUUCAAGCUAGAAGGGGCAGCAGAGUUGAGAAUGGACAGGAGCUCCCAUCCCUAAUCAAGAAGCUCUCUCUCUCUCUUAUUGACAGCUGUUUGCAAGGGAAAAAUCCAUUUUCUCUCUGAGUGCACAAACUACAUGCAAUGGCAGGCCCCAUACCCAGCAGUGGGUGGCCAAUACAAAAUAAACUCAGUGGUUUUUUGAAGACUUUUUUUUUGACUCAUUUUGUUUUGUUUGGACUUUUUUAUCUUACUGAUCUUUGUUUGUAUAUUAUGGAUCCCAAUCUUGUGUUUUUUUAUGGGUUUUGUCUUUGUAUGCGUGUUUCUUGUGUUUUUGCUUUGUUUUUUUUUUUCCUAUUUUGUUUGUUUUUUUGUUUUGUUCUGUUUUUAAAACUACCCUGUUAUUUCCUAAAGAGAGAGAUAAAGAGGGCAUAGAAUUGAAUGGGUAGAAGCAUAGAGAAUAUCUGGGAGGAAAUGAGAGAGGGAAAACUGUGCUCAAAAUAUAAUGUAUAAGAAAAUGAGUUUAAAAGGAAAAGGUGGGCAGUGGUAGCACACACCUUUAGUCCCAGUACUCAGGAGGCAGGGGCAGGUGGAUCUCUGGGCUCAAGACCAGUCUCAUCUACAGAGGGUGUUCCUGGACAGCCAGGGAUAUCCAGAGAAAUCCUGUCUCAAAAAGCAAGCAAACAAGUCAUGCUCCAGCCUACAUUGCACAAGAUAACAGGAUUUCUCAGGACAUGGAUUUCAGAAACAUUUGGGAACAGAGUGGGCUCUUGCUGAAAUUGAAGGCAGUUCAUAUCGGAAGUUCAGAAACACUAAAGAAAUGCAUCAUUUACAAUGUCCAACAAGUAGUACAACCAAAAUUUGAUAUUUUUUCUUUGCUUUUUUUUCCCCUGUGAAGAAGAGAUCAUAUUUCAUAUUGGAAAGACUACUACACAAUUUCAUUUCAAAAGCAUCCCUAAUACUUCAUUUAAAUAUUCCCAUUCUCAAUUCAGUCUCAUCCCUCUAAUAGCACUUCACUGUAUCAUACAAAACAUUUUUUUCUCCUUGACAUUUAGUAUCUUCAAAUAAUAUCAAAGAGCCCAUUAACUCUCCUUUUAGUUUCUGCUCAGUCAAGCUGUGCAUAAUUAACUCCUUUAAUCUUUUCUCUGAAUUACUCUCUCCAUUUCCUUAAUCAGUUUGUGGCAUAUUUUCCGAAGUUUCUUUCAUUGCUAGCGAUUGUUAAGCUGUAUUCCGUGUGGCUUUAUGGGCAUACUACAAAACUGUGCACAAUGCAUUUGAUUAAGGGCUCUGCAGAGUAUCUGUGGAGCCAUUUAGGACACCAGCAAGUAAAUCCACACAUUUCCCAUGUAGCCUUUGCAGGGAAUCAACGACAGAUGAGGAGUCAAGAUCCCUGGAUGUUCAAAAGUCACCAAGGGAAGCUAUAAACCAUGAGUCAAUUAGCAAGCAGUUGGGGUUUUUGUUUUGUUUUUGUUUUGUUUUAAGGCUUCUUUUACUUAAAUCACUGAUACAUGCAAAGCCACACGGUGGCCAUUAUGUGCACACACAAGAUGGACUUUAUCUCUUGGUCUCUUCUUCCUUUGGCAGUCCGGAUGUACUCCUACUUCUUGGCCAGGAGGAGGUCCUCCAGGUGUUUGCAGUGUGAUUUCUUGGUCUUAAAACUUGUAAGCCUCAACCUAGUCAGCCAGGAGCUAGAUUAUGGAUGUGUUUCAUGAGAACCCUCUUGGUUUUGUUUGUUUGUUUGUUUGUUUGUUUGUUCUCUUGACUGUCUCAGAGGUUCCAGCUCUGUUACCUGUACCUGCUGGUCAAUCUUAGAUUCAUGGUAUCUCCUGAGACGCCUGCUCAGAAUCUACAGCCUCAUGCAAGUUACACUCUCAGGUGGUUAAGCGUUGGCAACGCGCUUUCUUUUCCCUAAGCAAGCACAUACGCCUGCCCUUCCACCCAGCGUGUGUGCUAGGUGGGUUUUUGUUUUGUUUUGUUUUGUUUUGUUUUGUUUUUUUGGAUUGUUUUGCUUUGUUUUGUCUUUUUGUCUUUCGUUUUGUUUUGUUUUGUUAUUUUCCAACAUCCAACCUAGGAAAGAUAGAGAUUUCAUUGUUUUCUCUGGGGUCCAAUGAGACUUCGUUUUGUCACCGUGGAGAACACUAGAGACUAGUGUCUACUGAUUCCUGAGCAUAUUCAUGGCAGAUUUAAUCAGAAAUAGUUGUAUUACCUAUCUAUACUCUGCAGUUGGAAGAAAAUCUUUAAUAGGUUGGGAUAAGAUCAAGGGAAAAACCAAAGAUGCAGAGACAAGGAGACAAAAAUCUCAAGAAAAUGAGAGGGGACCUAAGAACAUACAUCUUGUUCCUGAUUUUGCAUGAAAAGUAAACAUGCUGCAGACUAUAGACUUACAAACCUUGUCCCAUUUUUUAUCACUAUGGUUGACCCUUCUCAUCUGUAUCCAUCCUUUUUCCUACCCUACAGAUGCAUGUUGAGCACAGGUGAGACAAAACUGUGAACUUUUCUGCUCAGGAUGGCCUUAGAAUAGCCAGUCACCGGGGCUACGUUCCCAUAGGCUGUCCCUACUUCUCCCUCCACCACUUCCAUAAUCAAGAAUGCAGUUGCUUUACCUGUAGUUUUCAGACCUAUAUCCAGUACCCACAGAACUAUAUACUGUUUCUAACUUUAUAUAGUAACAGGACAUUCAAGUGCGCCCACUGACACCCUCCCCCAACAGUUGUUUCCUUCAAAGAGAGAAACAGAGAACCAGUCUGAUUCAGUAAUUAACACACACACACCCCGAACCUGAAGGGAACUGAAUUGGACUGGAUUAGGAGUGGACAGAGAUGUCAAAUGCUAGCAGCUGUACACACAAGAAGCAAGCCAUUGAAAGUUAUGAGGCAAAAGGGGCCAAGUGUCUCAGCUUUGAAGUUUAUCAUUUUAACUGGCAGUUUUGGCAGUCAACAUACUAUAGAAAAGUAAAAGGGUCCUAAGAGCUGGGAAAUAUGUAGAUUCACUGAAAAAACUAAUACAUGCACACAUGCACACACACACUAUCAUGUGAUCCCCAUAGAAGGUCAUUGAAUUGGAAUCUUCCUCCUACAGCCACAAUAACUGUUGUCAGAAACAGAAAUCAUCACCUGACUGGGAGGGAGAGCCUGGCUAUAAAUGGAAUCUGUCAUAUGACCCCUGUAGAGAAAAAGCUCAUCCAUUCUGGUUGCCAUCUGACUGCAGUCAGACAUCUGGUUCCCAGUGGCAGGCAUCUUUUGAUCCUCCUCCUGGAUAGUCUGGUCAAACACAGAAGUAACUAGAUGGUAUUCAUCUGGAGUCUGGUAACCACUGGAGAACAUUAUAGGGCUCCCUUCAAGAGUCUCCUCCCCUCCAGGGAGAAGAUCUUGAUUAUCACCAGAGCUGAUCCUCUGACUACCACAUACGGCUGUACUGUGGAGCCCAACACAUUCACUACUGCUCAAGGAGGUCACCUGGAUGACUUCAUUGUAGACUGUCUGUCAGGGACUGCUCUCUUCUGGAAAUCAGUGAGGGAAAUCUCCUGGAGGUUGAGCUCCUGCAGCCGAGAGCCUGCUGGGAAUUUCAUCUGGUCAGCAGACAUGGCUUGCUGGUACAUGGCUAAAUUCUCAUUUGGUUUUCCAAGUUGAAAAUUGAUGUCUUCUCCAGGGUAUGCAGUUGAGUUCUAGGUGAAGGCUGUCCCAGGCAUGCUACAAUAGCCAGAUGACAUCAUUGGUUGAGUCCUCGUAGGUAUCACAUGACUCAGCUGUCACAAGCCAGCUGGUUUCCACAGGGGCAGUGUGUGGAUAGCAGGACUCUGACUGAAAUUCAUGUCGGCUUUCUACCUGCUCCUUAAGCAGUUCAGAGAAGACCGGGAGAGGCUCCUCAGUUUCUUCUACUGUUCAGGGAUUGGAGAUCAUGUUGCUGAACUACAUUCUCAGCUCUGAGAAUUUAAGUCUUUAAAGUCGGUCAAAUGUAGAGAGAGACAGAGGUUAGUGGUAGACCCAAGCAGAUCCAGCAUGUGAGCUGCAGGCCAGGGCUUCAGACCUUCAGGAACUAUAAUGAAAGUGGGCUGGGAGAAAGGCACUCAACUCAGCUCUGGUGUCUGGAGUCUGCUUUUAGAAACCUCAGUAGGAAGUGGGCAGGGCCAUGCCCUUUGCCUUGGAGUUCAAAUCCAGAACACUUGCUUGAGCUCUUACUCUCAUGAGCUCAGAAUACAGAAGGUGAUUGAAUAAUUCAGCAAAGGAGCCAGGAAUUCCUUGAAGUCAUGAAGUCCAACAGGAGGAAGCUGAACUUUGGAUCUUGCCAUCCGUAUCACUGGAGUCAGACUCAACUCACAUUCUGGCACCUCUUGACUUAACCUAGAUGAUAGGUGAGCCUUUUUGAGCCUGGUGGGUUUUUUGUUUGUUUGUUUUUUUUCAUUUAUUCUUGUUUGUUUUGUAUUUUGGGUUUUAAAUGUUCCUUUAAACACGGAAUCUCAUUGAGUUUAAGGUUUGGCCACAAUACCUCAGCUCAAGCCAAGCCUUGUUCUUCAGCCUUCUUUGCCCUUAGAAUUGCUAUCACUAGAGGUAAGAAGGCUGGUGUCUUUCUUUCUUUUUUUUUUUUUUAACCCAAACUAACUUCCAGUUCUGUCUUUGCCCCUUUAUUGGCUACAGUAUUACAGCCAUUAACAACUAUCCCAUAAUGGCAGUUUUUGAUGUCAUCCUCUCCAUCCUCCAAGACUGCUGACCUCACCAAGGACUGACUCUCUUGGAAUCACAGGUGUGAUAUCAGCCAAUUCCAAAUUAGGCCAGGUGUGCACAGUCUCUGCUCCUCAUCACCACAGAGCCCAUUCUUAUAAAAUAUCUGUCCAGUGACACAUUUGUCCACGGCUCCUUAAAUGCUCUCUCCAACACCACUCUCCCUCUUUCCUCUGGUGAACUGACCCUGUCCUAGCUCUUUGGUGACCCGAUAUCAUGCAGCCUUUUUCCUCCAUGGGAGUUCAGAGGUUCUCAGAAGCAGGCUGUUAAGCUAAGUGCCUGAGAUGUGCAGGCACACUCCAUAGCUUAUCCUUUAAGCUGUCCAGUCACACAGAGGCAAAGUAUGAUUAUGAGAAAUUUACAGGCUUUGGCUUCCUGUAUUCUACUUUCUUUUGGAAAAAAAUUGCAUAUAUGAUUUCAGCAAAAUUACUUCAUCUUGUACUUUUCACACCUAUACCAUAUUUUACAUUGAAUUUUUGGUCAUUAAAUAUAUUAGUAGAGUGAAGAGCAAGAAUAACCCUUGAAUUUCUCUAAAUACAACUUACCCUGCUUUUUAAAAAAAAAUCUUAGGAACAGUAAAAAUUAGUAUGGCAUGGUGUAGCACUGUGGUUUUUUGUUUGUUUGGUUGUCUGUUUUUUGUUUUUUUUUGUUUUUUUACUUUUUUUAAUUAGAUAUUUUCUAUAUUUACAUUUAAAAUGUUAUCCCCUUUCCUAGUUUCCCCUCUGAAAAUCUCCUAACCCCUCCCCCCUCCCCCUGCUCUCCAACCCACCCACUCCCAUUCCUGGCCCUGGCAUUCCCCUAUACUGGGGCAUAGAACCUUCACAGGACCUAGGGCCUCUCCUCCCAUUGAUGACAGUCUAGGACAUCCUCUGCUACAUAUGCAGCUAGAGCCACAAGUCCUACCAUGUGUUUUCUUUGAUUGGUGGUUUAGUCCCAAGAAGCUCUGGAGGUACUGGUUAGUUCAUAUUGAUGUUCUUCCUAUGGGGCUGCAAACCCCUUUAGCUCCUUAGGUACUUUCUCUAGCUCCUUCAUUGGGGACCCUGUGCUCUGUCCAAUGGAUGACUGUGAUCAUCCACUUCUGUAUUUGCCAGGCCCUGGCAGAGCCUCUCAGGAGACAGCUAUAUCAGGUUCCUGUCAGCAAGCUCUUGUUGGCAUCUGCCAUAGUGUCUGGGUUUGGUGGUUGUUUAUGGGAUGGAUCCCCAAGUGGGGCAGUCUCUGUAUGGAUAGUCGUUCCUUCAGUCUCUACUCUGAACUUUGUCUCUGUAACUCCUUCCAUAGGUAUUUUGUUCCCCCUUCUAAGCAGGAUUAUCACUUUUUAUCCUUCACUUCUGUGAAGGAGUCUCUCAGAUGCAGGGCUUUGUUUGUCUGUUUCCAUGGCAACCAUCUUUGGUUCCUUCCUGUUUGCUAACUUCCUAAUCAAUAUUUGAUGUAAGUUUUUCUAUGUAAAGGAGAAUCUGAUCACCUUUCCCAUAAGCUCCUCAUCCACUUUAGCCACCGUUGAAGCCGAGUUUAGACUUCCUCAUCCAAGCUGAUCUCAGAGUAGUCAGCCCUCUGGGGAUAUUUCACAGGCUUUAUUGGCACCUUUUGCCUCUCUUCUCACCUUCCAACCACCCCGAGGUCCCUAUUCUCUCUACCCCUUCUUCUCCAUUCCCUUGGACACCAACAACUCUAUUUCCCUUCCAGCUUACAAAUUUGUCUCUUCCACCAUCAAAUCCUUCCCUCUGGGUAGUUUCCAGCUAUACACAGUACCAAGAACACUCACACAUGCCAGCUGAAAAUCUAAAAUAAACUCUCCUCCCAAAGGGAAAGAGAAAUGUCUGUAGACACACUAACUGAGCUGGUUCACACAGGGACUGCCCCCCCCUUCUUUCAUAUAUCAAUAAGUGUAGCUGAGAAACAUGUAGAUUUCAUAGAACAAAAUGUACAAAAGCAUACAGAGCACCUAAGCGCACACACAUACACACACACAAAUAAGAAGACAUGAAAAAAUAUCAUAGUUGAGGAUUUGAGGAGAAAAAUGAAAAUGUGGCUUUUAAUAUUUACUAAUGGGGAAAAUAAGCCACUAAGGAACAAAGUGACCUUACAACUGUCUUCAUGAGAGAAUGUGGAGAAAAAAGCUGUUGAUGGACUCAGUUGCACUUUUCCUUUGCUGGUCAUGUGACCAUAAAUCACCAGAUACAACUUAUGGGAAGCAGAGUUAUUUCUGCUUUUUCUCAGCUAUGAGCAUAUUGCACUAAAUAGAACUGCAUCUUUGGAUUAUAGGAGGUGACUUCCAGAGCAGCCAUAUAUUACCAAAAACCUAAAAUGGAUAACACUAUUCAAGUCCAAAAGAGGGAAGAUAAAUUGGGCCUACAUUAUUCCAUUGCUAUUCUUUCACUAUUUCUUAGUAUUUCUAUUGUUGCAGUUAUUCAGUACAAUUAAAAACCAAUAUGGAAGUUUAAUUAAUGUAAACAUCAUUACACUAGCCAUCUUAAAGAAAAGGAAGAUUAAAGGACUCGCCUUACUGUUAUGGAACACACCUUUUAAUCUUAGCACUCAGGAGUCAGAGACAGGAGGAUAUCUGUGAGUUCUUAGAAGAUCCUUGGGCAAAAAAUUAAUUCACUUUUGCAAAAUACCAAAUAAUCCAUUUUAUAUGGUAGAUGUUGCAUAUUUAUCUAUUCUAGCUUUUAAUAUUCACAAAUAGCUUUAAGCAUUUACAAUGUGUUGACAAUGUCCUUGGUAGAAUGAAAUUGUUGAGGACAGAUUAAAGGAACUUGUCUUAAGUACUGCCAUUUUGACUUUAGACUCCAUUUUACCUAAGCUGACUAACUCCCUCUCCAAGCAACAAUAAUUUCCCCAAAACCUACCUGUUACCAAUCCCUCUCUAAGCAAAAAUAGUUACCCAAAGCAUAAUUAAUGCCUAUUCCUAACAACAGAAAGAACAAACAACUUUGAUUAGUUGGGCAAAUCACUUAACUGAAUGUCGACUGACACUGAUAGAACACUUGGGAAAGUCCUAAUCCCUGCAUUCUGAUUGGCACAAAUUAAACUGUAACUUGACUCAGAGGCUUGUGGGGUUUAUGGCUAUGAACCCUGCUUCAGGCCACACUCGAUGCUGUCAGAAGAAACAAAGUUCCUGCGUCCUUGCAUGGUGGCCUCAGUCAAUCAGUGCUUCUGCUUAUGUGGUGGGAAUAAUGAAAGAUUCUGUUGUUUCACAAAGCCCACUGGUGUUUCCUUUCUCCUUCCUCGUGACAUACAACAGACAUGGUGUAACAGAAAUAAGUUUAGUGGGGCAGAUAUUCCUUGUGGACAGUCAGGUUCCAGCGCUGGCUCACACUUGUUCUUACAUGAGAUCUUGCAAAGGGUUUCUUUCACUUGCAUUCAGGAAGAGCCAUCCAGGUUGCUCUUCUUCCUGUGCCUGGUGAGCUCACCUGAUUGGAAGAACUUACACAUACACGCAGCUCUGUUGCACUUAGAGGAGUUUUUUUCAGUGUGCUUCCUCACAUGGGCUCUGAGGUAAUGAGACUGUGUAAGAUUUCUCACAAUCCUGGUAUAUUGAGAAGUAAAGCUUCAAACUUGGAGUUUUCUUCAGGAACACAAGACCCUGGGUCAUGAGAAGCUGUCUCUAGAGUAAAAAGAAAGCUAAAAAGCUUUCUGGAGUUUGUCCUGGGGCCAAAAAAGAACUUGAAGAAUAAAGGAUUCCACUCCCCUAUUGGGUCCAGUUACUAAAGGAAAUCAUUAAAACAUUGAGACUUUCUUCAAUACUGGGUGCUGUCCUCUGACCUCUAUAGAUAUCCUGCCUCCAGAGUUUGUCAUUUGACCACACUAAACAGUUUUUUUUUUUUCUGCAAUUGGGUGGUGCAUCUUCCUCCCAUAAAGUGGAUGUUCAAAAAUGGAUGUUGUUGUCUGACUCCAACAUAGAGGGUUUCAUCACCAACUGAGGUUGCUACCUGACUCUCAGAGAGAUUGUGAGCACUUUUGACUGUCUUAUGAUCUCCAUAGCAGGACAAAUCACCAAUGGGAUCUCUCAUCUGAGCUCCCUUAAGAACUUGAUGGUCACUGGUGGCAUCCUUUGGUUUGCUAGGCCUUGGAGGGGUGGAACCCAACAUCUAAUAUACCUUUUAUGCUCCUACAUCUAUGAUUUUGGAAUGCAGAGGGUGAUUGAAUGACUUGCAAUGGAGCCUGAUGUCAUUGACUAAAAUCCCAAAGUGAGGAUAAACUGUACAUUGAACCAUUUCUUCCCUACCUAAGUACUAGCUGCUAAGUCUUACCCUGGAGGACUGAGUUGAGGUUGUAGAAACUGAACAUUUUUGCCCAAGAAGUUAGCUACAGAUCUAGAUGUGAACCCAAAACUCUUACUCUCGAAAGCUGAGUCUGUUCGUAAAGAGUCAAGACAUGAAUUUAAGUCUAACCACCUUCUGAAAUAUGCAUAUUCCAUCUCACUGACACCUUUAAAUUAAAAUUACUUAUUUACAAAACCUUGAAAAUUCAAUCAAGUUACUUUUAGAUAGAUAAUAGUGUUACAAUUUUUCACCUCAAAUUGUGAUCUUCCUGCUAUAGUCUGAAAUUUUUCGAGGGUGCCACUUGACUGGUCUGUGUUUUUUCUUCUAUCUUUUACUUUUUUCUUUCAUUUUUUUUUCUGUUGUUGUUUUGCUUUCUUUUGGUUUUACCUAGGGCUCAUCCAUUGUUGUCCAGGUUGACCUCAAUCCCACACUCAAGCAACCCUCCAUAAAGGCCUCCUUGAGACUACCCCUUGCCUCUGGUGACAAUGGCUACUUGAUUCUUCUUCCUCUGUCUCCCAAGGGACAGUGGAGCUAGAAAGCAUCACCAGCCCCAAGGCCAAAUUGGCAGGUGUUGAUAUCCAUCAUUCCCCAUUACCCAGACUGUUUUACCUCAUCAUGCACUGACAGUCCUGAAAUUCCAUGCCUGACCUCUGAUCCCAGCCAGACUGCUCCAAAUGUACACCUGUCACCCUUCCAUUCCCACAAAGUGCCAAUUUUGCAAGGACCAACCCUGUCCAAGGAAUAGGAUAUCUGUUCGCCCCUAGUUUCCAAACUUUUAAGCAACACCAUUUAUACUCUUCUUCCUCGGUGAGAUGGCUUUAUGUCCAUUCUUUCACACCUGACAUAGAAGUUCCAGGGCUUCCAGGAUGGAGCUGAGAUUCCAUGUGCCUUUUGGUGACUUCAACGAUGUAACCUUGGGCCUGCUGGCUCACAGCCUGGCUUCCAUUGCCAUCUCCUAAGCAACACAGCCACAGACUUGGCAAAUAUCUUUGAAUAAGUGACAGGAUUUUGGGUUCUUAUAUUCCAAUUCUACUUUUGAAAAAGAAGUAUAGCAUACAUGAAAUAUACAAAAUGGCUUCAUCAUGAUCUUUCACACUGUAUCAUAGAUUUUAAAAAUGAAUUUUAUAAUUAGAAAAAGACAUAUUUAUGGAAUCAUAAAGCAAAAAGUCCCCUAACUUUAUGAAUACAGCUUACUCUUGUCAGAAAAAUUUUAUUAACUCUUUAAGAAUAUUAAAAACUAUUGUGCAUCAAGUUGCAGCAACUCUGAAUUCUUUAUUCUAAGAAGGCAUCUCUUUAGAUGCAUGGCUCUGAAUGUCCUUGUUACCGUGACAACGGUCUUUUUCUUUCUCAUCUCCUAAUUCAUUUGCUGAUCAAUACUUUGCGAAAAUUGUUUCUAUGGAAAUGUGAAUCUGUUUACCUUUUCCCUAGCCUAAAUAUCCACCAUCUCCACAGGUAGGAAAAAAUUUGACAUUCUCUUGGCCAAUAUGAACUUAGAGUAGCCAGCACUAUGGAGACUAUUUUCAAAUGAUUUACUGGAAGAUUUUGCAUUAUAUCUUCCGACCACCCUCAGAUUCUCACUCUCUCUACUGAUUCUCUGACAUUCUUUUGAACACUGAUAAAGCCAUUUUGCCCUCUCCAGCAAUGGAGAUCUGUCACCUCCACUCUCAGAGUGUUUUCUCUGUCUAGUUUGACUUUAACAACAACGGCAAGAGCACACCCAUCUGUCCCAACUGAAAAUCCUCACAGGCUGAACCCCACUCCACAUUUCCCAGCACUCAGGUGACACCCCUGGACUUGAUUAAGAGUAGGUGGAGGUGUCUGACUCCAAAGGGAUUGGCAAUCUCGUUCUGUUGUACACACAUGAGACAGAUCAUUUAAAGGAGUGAGUAUAUAGACGCUCUGUGUCUCCAUGUGUAGGUUUAGCAUUUUCUCUGGUUGUUUUGUCAGUCAAACCUGUAUAGAAACCUGAAAAGGGACUAAGGACAAUAUAGGUGUGAAGUAUGUAGAUUUCAAUUUCACUGUGUAAGCCAACAUAAAAGCACACAGUACACACAAGAACACCCAUACACACACACACACACACACACACACACACACACACACAUACACACAGGUAAAGGUUAGAUGGCAGAGAAUAAGGAUCGGAGAGUUUUAGGGUAUAAGGGGAGCAAAUCUGUUUUUUUAAGUAUUUUAUUUUUAAUUAUGUGUAUGUAUACAAAAGCACUGUUGCCAGAUGAGGUUAGAAGAUGUGGGAUCUUCUGGAGCCAGAAGUUCCAGUUCCAGGUGGCUGGAACCUGCCCUAGAUAGAUGUUAGGGAACAAACUUGGCUCCUCUGGAAAAGAAACAUAUGAGCCUAAGCUCUGAGCAAUCUCUCAAGCCCCUAAGUGUGAUUCUUCCUCUUCUCUUUGAAACAGGUUUUUUUCAUACAAUGUAUUCUGGUCAGAUCUUCCCCUCCUCCAGUUCUUCCCAGCUCCUCUGCACCCCGCCAAUCACCCAAAUCCACACCCUUUCUUUCUCUCUCGCAUUAGAAAACAGACUAUUUUUAAAUUAUUUUAUCUAAAUAAAAAUUCAUUUUAUUUGUCUAAAUAAAAUAAAACUAGAAUAAGAUAAAACAAACAAAAACAGAAGAAGGUGAAAGAAAAAACACAUAAGAAACACGUACGGUUGCAGAGACACACACAGAGAAAUCCCAUAAAAACACAAAAUCAAAAACUAUGAUAUUAUAAGCAAAAGACCUAUAUAAGAUUAAAAAAACAAUGCCUAGACAAAGCACUAUGUUACAAAAAAGCAAAACCCUCCCAAAAAUACCAUUGAGUAUGUUUUGUGUUGGCCAUUUAAGUUUGGUUCUUAAUAAUCACACAUCUAGGAAAUAAUAUCCCAAGGGAGGAAAAUGCUCACUCAAAGGGUUUAGCUGAGAGAACAAAGAAAGAGUUGUAAGGUUAAAUGCACCUGCUGCUUUUCUCAUUACCAUGGCCACACCCCGCCCCCAAACAAUUUGGUUAUUUUGGGCUCAUGGUUUCUCAGGGUUCAGUCCCUCUUGACAGCAGAGGGUACAUCAGGUCAAACCAACGAGCACAGAAAUGUCAUUUCCCUGAGCUUGGGUGGCAUUAUUCUUUCCUUCUUGCAUUUUUAACUUCCAGUCCCAGCCCAGGGAAGCUGCCUCCAUGUUCAAGGUUCCACCUGCCACCCCCAGUUAGUCUUCCCUGGGAACUCCCUCACAGAUGCACCCCAAGGUGCCAAGGUGGGCUUCAUCAGUCUCUUACAUGAUUCAACUCAAAAUUUAGUCAACUUGACAAUGAAAAUUAAACACUAUAUUUAAUUUCCUCCUAAAUUUGUUUUUCCCGGUCCACUUUUUUUUUUUUUCCAGUUAUGAGCUUCAAUGUUGCCGUGCUA